This is an RNA transcript of Selaginella moellendorffii, 1385 nucleotides long. It is a transcript of the gene named serine/arginine-rich splicing factor SC35, with no coding region annotated. The record is from RefSeq and is a predicted model, not a curated record. The transcript has 11 exons. Lineage: Eukaryota; Viridiplantae; Streptophyta; Lycopodiopsida; Selaginellales; Selaginellaceae.
UCUUCUUCUUCGUUCUAGGGUUUGUGUGGAUGCAUGCGCCAUUGUCGAGGAAACAAUGUCGCAUUUCGGACGUGCCGGCCCGCCCGACAUACGGGAUACGUACUCGCUUCUCGUCCUCAACAUCACAUUCAGAACUACCGCCGAUGAUCUCUACCCUCUCUUCGAUCGCUACGGCAAAGUUGUGGACAUUUUCAUCCCCAGAGAUCGCAGGUCUGGUGAGUCACGAGGAUUCGCAUUUGUACGCUACAAGCAUGUGGAUGAAGCACAAAAGGCGAUCGAUAGACUGGACGGUAAGAAUCUGAACGGACGUAACAUCAUGGUUCAGUUUGCAAAAUAUGACAAGAACUCUGAAUCAACAUGUUGUGGAAGAAUAACAACGUCCAUAUACAGCAGGUCACGGAGUCGGAGCCCGAGACGACCAAGUCGAUACAGGGAAGAGUAUGGACGAGGGAGGGAUUAUCGCGACAACUUCCGCGGAAGAGACAGAUACGAGCGCGAACGAAGCCGGGACGAUCACUUUUAUGAGCACGAUCGCAUCAGAGACAGAUACGAGCGUAGAGAUAGGCACGAACGUGACUACAGGCAUCAACAUGAACGAAGCCGGGACUCACACGACGUUGGUCGGAGCAAAGAAAGAUACGAGCGGGAUCGCUUUGAUGCCGAGGUUGGAAGAGGCGGCCGAAGUAGGAGCCGGAGCAGGGACCGCUAUGCAGAAGAUGAUCAUCGCGAGGAAAGAGGAAGGCCCGUCGAACGUACUAACUCGUCACCAGCACCACUAAGUCCUGCUCCAGCUCGGUUAUCGAGUCCUGUCCGAGAAACAGCGUUGGGAUCACCAAGGCCAGUGACGGCGGCGAACAGAGACGCAAGUCCUUUGGAGCAAGCAAGGAAAAGCGAGCGGUCUCCAGUCCGAAGUUUGUCGCCAGAGAAAAGCUACUCCAAUGGAAAGCGUGAAGGUUCUCCAGGACCAGUAAGUCCCGCUGGCAUCGGCGUCGAUAUCCAGAGCCCCUACAACACCGACCCCGAUGAGUCAUAAUCUCGAUGCCUACGAGACGCUGUCCUUCUAGUUGUGGUAGUCAUUUAGUCGUCGGAAUGACACUUUUGAAGCAUCUAAUUUUGUGCUGGGUUUUAAAUAGUCUGCUGGUGGCUGUGGUGGUGGGUUCCAAGGGGACUUUGGUGCUGCACGGUGGAAACCUGUGCUGUUUAGAAUUACUGGUUGCAUAGUUGGUGUUUGCAGGACAUUUGUUGCAGCAUAGGUUUUCUUUGCACAUAAUGAUGUAGUGGUGACAUUGUCACUCGCUCCAAAACAAGCACUCCAUAUGCUCUUCUGUUGACCAAUUUCUCAACUCAACUGGCGUAAGUUUAAAUGGUGUUGUUCUGGAUUCAAA